This 473-nucleotide ribosomal RNA is filed under the name Streptococcus sanguinis. RNAcentral's name for it is "bacterial SSU rRNA". It matches the Rfam family "Bacterial small subunit ribosomal RNA", at positions 28 to 483 of the family's 1533-position model. Lineage: Bacteria; Bacillati; Bacillota; Bacilli; Lactobacillales; Streptococcaceae. The record is from RNAcentral.
GACGAACGCUGGCGGCGUGCCUAAUACAUGCAAGUAGAACGCUGAAGAGAGGAGCUUGCUCUUCUUGGAUGAGUUGUGAACGGGUGAGUAACGCGUAGGUAACCUGCCUGGUAGCGGGGGAUAACUAUUGGAAACGAUAGCUAAUACCGCAUGAUAUUAAUUGUCGCAUGAUAAUUAAUUGAAAGAUGCAAUUGCAUCACUACCAGAUGGACCUGCGUUGUAUUAGCUAGUUGGUGAGGUAACGGCUCACCAAGGCGACGAUACAUAGCCGACCUGAGAGGGUGAUCGGCCACACUGGGACUGAGACACGGCCCAGACUCCUACGGGAGGCAGCAGUAGGGAAUCUUCGGCAAUGGGGGGAACCCUGACCGAGCAACGCCGCGUGAGUGAAGAAGGUUUUCGGAUCGUAAAGCUCUGUUGUAAGAGAAGAACGGGUGUGAGAGUGGAAAGUUCACACUGUGACGGUAUCUUCC